UCUGCCGGGCCAGGAGUCGGUAGCACAUGCAAUCAGCGGCUGGAGCAAUCACAACAAGUGCUGAAUUAUAAAUACAUGUUGGUAUUGUUUUAGGAAAUCACUGGAAAAGAAGACACACCCACGAGUUCCACGCUCUCCCCGCCGCAGAGAGCAUCAGCUGGAGGAGAGAGACGCCAUCCCAGAAAACCCUGCGGCAUGCUCCUGUGUGUGUGUGUGUGUGUGUGUGUGUGUGUGUGUGUGUGUGUGUGUGUGUGUGUGUUUUAUUCUCUCAGUCCCCAAUGUGUUCCAGGUCAGUGGUCUGAAUCACACAUACAGAAGCCAGCUCCUCCUGGGCCACUGUAUGUUCACCUGCCACCCAGUGUGUGUGUGUGUGUGUGUGUGUGUGUGUGUGUGUGUGUGUGUGUGUGUGUGUGUGUGUGUGUGUGUGUGUGUGUUUUGUGCGAGACAGCCAGUGUCUUUCUGAUAAACGGUGCCAGAUCUUAAGAUGAUGUCAGAUGCGAGCUGCUGGCCCGAGUCCAGAUGGAUCCGAAGUCUCCCAGAGGAGGAGGAUGAGUCUGGUAGAUGGAGGUGCCAAAAGCACCGAGGGGGGAGGGGGGGU
Molecule: long non-coding RNA, 598 nt
Organism: Salarias fasciatus (jewelled blenny)
Lineage: Eukaryota; Metazoa; Chordata; Actinopteri; Blenniiformes; Blenniidae
Exons: 3
Source: RefSeq, a predicted model, not a curated record